This 493-nucleotide ribosomal RNA is filed under the name uncultured bacterium. RNAcentral's name for it is "bacterial SSU rRNA". It matches the Rfam family "Bacterial small subunit ribosomal RNA", at positions 38 to 507 of the family's 1533-position model. The record is from RNAcentral.
GGCGGCGUGCCUAACACAUGCAAGUCGUACGAGAAAGUUGGCUUCGGCCGAUGAGUAAAGUGGCGCACGGGUGAGUAAUGCGUGGAUAAUCUGCCCUUUAGUUGGGAAUAACGUACCGAAAGGUGCGCUAAUACCUGAUAAUACUGCAUAACUACUGUUGUGUAGUCAAAGAAGGCCUCUGUUUACAAGCUUUUGCUGAAGGAUGAGUCCGCGUACCAUUAGCUGGUUGGUGGGGUAAUGGCCUACCAAGGCUACGAUGGUUAGCUGGUCUGAGAGGAUGAUCAGCCACACUGGAACUGAGACACGGUCCAGACUCCUACGGGAGGCAGUAGUGAGGAAUAUUGCGCAAUGGGGGCAACCCUGACGCAGCAACGCCGCGUGAGUGAGGAAGGUUUUCGGACCGUAAAGCUCUGUCGAGCGGGAAGAAAUGUAUCAUGGCUAAUAUCCAUGAUACUUGACGGUACCGCUAAAGGAAGCACCGGCUAACUCCGUG